UACGAAGGGGGCAAGCGUUGUUCGGAAUUACUGGGCGUAAAGCGCACGUAGGCGGACUAUUAAGUCAGGGGUGAAAUCCCGGGGCUCAACCCCGGAACUGCCUUUGAUACUGGUAGUCUCGAGUCCGGAAGAGGUGAGUGGAAUUCCGAGUGUAGAGGUGAAAUUCGUAGAUAUUCGGAGGAACACCAGUGGCGAAGGCGGCUCACUGGUCCGGUACUGACGCUGAGGUGCGAAAGCGUGGGGAGCAAACAGG
Molecule: ribosomal RNA, 253 nt
Filed under: uncultured bacterium
Lineage: Bacteria
Description: partial 16S ribosomal RNA
Rfam family: Bacterial small subunit ribosomal RNA
Source: RNAcentral